RNAcentral lists this ribosomal RNA (258 nucleotides) under uncultured bacterium. RNAcentral describes it as "partial small subunit ribosomal RNA". It matches the Rfam family "Bacterial small subunit ribosomal RNA", at positions 26 to 291 of the family's 1533-position model. The record is from RNAcentral.
AGGACAAACGCUGGCGGCGUACCUAAGACAUGCAAGUCGAACGGACUGCAGGUUUUCAGAUUUGCAGUGAGUGGCGAACGGGUGAGUAACGCGUAGGAACCCGCCUCGACGUGGGGGAUAACACUUGGAAACAGGUGCUAAUACCGCAUGUGGUCGGAAGAAGUAAAGGCUCUAGCAAUAGAGUCGCGUUGAGAGGGGCCUGCGUCCGAUUAGCUAGUUGGUGGGUAAAGGCUCACCAAGCGACGAUCGGUAGCUGGU